GGGGAAUUGCAUGGAUGGUGGAAGAAGACCCUCAUCAUUAUACAAAAUACAUGUAUGAAGAUGUGAAUUUGGUGUCAAUAUAUCUUACAUACAGAAACAUAAUAAAUUGUGGUAUAAAGGUGUAUUAAGAAUUAUAAUGCAAAUAAUAAUAAUACUCAUGUAAAAAAUAAAUAAAUAAAUAAAACGGAUGUGGAGAAAAGCACCUACAUGGCCCAGAUGAGAUUGGAGGUCAUUACAGGGAAUGACCCGAGACCCAGUGUUUGCAUAACUGAUGUUUCCAAAGAACUGGAAUAGAAGCAAUGAUAAAAUGUGGAAAGUCGUAUCUCUUUUUAAAAUGAAUUUUAGAAAUGGAAAUAUUCAUAGCACACAGAAAUCUAAACAUAGACAUACUAUGUGAUUUUAAAAUUGGAAAAAUAAAUUAUUCGAGCAACCUGGUGAAAUUUAUUUAUUUAUUUAUUUCAGAUAUACAUGACAGUACAGUGUAUUCUGACAUACAUACAUGGAGAAUGAUUUACUCUAAUU
RNAcentral lists this long non-coding RNA (522 nucleotides) under Marmota monax (woodchuck). Lineage: Eukaryota; Metazoa; Chordata; Mammalia; Rodentia; Sciuridae. The record is from RNAcentral.